Molecule: ribosomal RNA, 2804 nt
Filed under: Pinus taeda (loblolly pine)
Lineage: Eukaryota; Viridiplantae; Streptophyta; Pinopsida; Pinales; Pinaceae
Description: eukaryotic LSU rRNA
Rfam family: Eukaryotic large subunit ribosomal RNA (bases 550-2804)
Source: RNAcentral
AAGAAGCAGUCUUGGAGAAUGAAGUUUUGGAGGGGAAAAUGAGCACCAAAUUCAGAAAUUCCACUUGGGUUGGAAAGUAGACAGGCAGCGCUUUCCAACAACCACACUUGGGCACAAUUUGGACUCCAGAAGGUACCUUAGAAUUGUCUCCAAAGUUGCACAACACAUAUAGAUUUGGGCAUAGCGCAUAUAGACCAAAAGGCCAAAAUCACUUCCGCUCUACGACAUUUCGAUUCGCGAAUUUCUCCAAGUGGGCCCGCUCAUUUACACUACACUUUUUUUGGCACCUAAGGUAAAGUUUAAAGUAUUUCCACUAAAGGUUGGCUUCUAUCCAAGUGGCAAAGGAAGGCGAGCACUCACCCAAUCCAUUUGUCAUUUUUGUAAUGCUGCACCUGUAACUAAUGGUUGGCUUUCCACUUCCACUUUGUAAUGAUUUGAAAAACUCCCCAACUCUUGGUUGUUAUAUUUCCCAAUGGCAUAGUCUAUUUAUUGUAUGCAAGCCAUUUUCAAAGGGUUGGUUGGUUGUAAUUUCUGGGAGACUGUGGGAGAGAAACUCAGUUACUCAUUGUAUAUUUUGACAGAGAAUUAAUGAAAGGUAGUAACUUCGGUUCAUGAGAUUCAUGUGGUGUGAGUGUAGCAAAUGUAUUCUCUUUAUGUUUCAUAUGUAUUUCAUUAUGUUUCACAUUUCAUUCAUAUUCAUUUCCAGUGAAAGUUUCUAAGUAAGAUAAGGUAGAAUUAAUGUUUAUUGCUCUGCAUGUGGGAAAAUUUCACGUUCUGUGUUCUUCUUCUGUUGAAAAGGACUCGUGUAUUUAUGCCCUUUUCACCCUUCUAAACAAUCUUUCCAUUUCGCAUUAUUUCAAACUUAAUUGCUAAACAUUUUUCCUGUCUUUCCUAACGAAACAAUCUGUGCUUUUGUGUUAAAUUCUCUGCUCGUAUUGUUCGUUGGUCCCAUACAUCCCAGAAACUCAGUCAUUUAUUAAAAAAUUGCCUCUUGCUUCCAUAUUUAUUUACCUAGCCUAAAAUCAAUAUUCAUUGCAAGUCAUCUCAGACCAUGUUGUUUAUCUAUUCACUAAGCAUGACUCGGAGAGAGCCCUCUCUUGUUCUGGUAGGGCUAGCUACCAGAUUGAGAGUGGUUUGUGGUUACCCUGAAUUUUGCCUUCCUUCGGCCUAAGGCAGAUUUAGGUGCUAACAGCGGGGCCCGAGAAGAGUUAUCUUUUCUUUUUAACAGCUUGCCCACCAUAGAAUCGGUUCACCCAGAGAUAGGGUCCAGCAGCUGGAAGAGCACCACAUGUCUUGUGGUGUCCUGUGUGCCCUCGAUGGCCCUUGAAAAUCUGGAGGACCGAGUACCGUUCAUGCCUGGUCAUACUCAUAACCGCAUCAGGUCUCCAAGGUGAACAACCUCUGGUCAAUAAAACAAUGUAGGUAAGGGAAGUCGGCAAAACGGAUCCAUAAAUUUGGGAAAAGUAUUGGCUCUGAGGGCUGGGCCUAGGGGUCUGCGCCCUCAACUCGUGGGCUGUCGACAGUUUGCCCGAGCUUCUCUCACGGUGAGGGUGGGAAGUCGCGUGCCGAUUGGGCUACGGGCGUAGAAUGCCCCCUACCGGGGGAUUUUCCCUAGGCGUCGAACAGUCAACUCAGAACUAGUAGGGACAAGGGGAAUCCGACUGUUUAAUUAAAACAAAGCAUUGCGAUGGUCCCUGCAGAUGCUGAUGCAAUGUGAUUUCUACCUAGUGCUUUGAAUGUAAAAGUGAAGAAAUUCAACCAAGCGCGGGUAAAUGGUGGGAGUAACUAUGACUCUCUUAAGGUAGCCAAAUGCCUCGUCAUCUAAUUAGUGAAGCGCAUGAAUGGAUUCAUGAGAUUACCACUGUCCCUAUCUACUAUCUAGUGAAACCAUAGCCAAGGGAACGGGCUUGGGAGAAUCAACGAGGAAAGAAGACCCUGUUGAGCUUCACUCUAGUAUGACUUUGUGAAAUGACUUGAGAGGUGUAGAAUACGUGGGAGCCAUUUUUGGUGCAAGUGAAAUACCACUACUUUUAACGUUAUUUUACUUAUUCCAUGGGGCAGAGAUGGGGCACUUCCCCUAUUUUUGCUUAAAGGCACGUUUCAGUGGUUCGAUCUGGGUGGAAGGCAUUGUCAGGUGGGGAGUUUGGCUAGGUGGCACAUCUAUUAAAAGAUAACGUAGGUGUCCUAAGAUGAGCUCAACGAGAACAUAAAUCUCAUGUGGAACAAAAGGGUAAAAGCUCAUUUGAUUUUUAUUUUUAGUACGAAUACAAACCGUGAAAGCGUGGCCUAUCAAUCCUUUAGAUUUUUGGAAUUUGAAGCUAGAGGUGUCAGAAAAGUUACCAGAGGGAUAACUGGCUUGUGGCAGCCAAGCGUUCAUAGCGGCGUUGCUUUUUGAUCCAUCGAUGUUGGCUAUUCCUAUCAUUUUGAAGUAGAAUUCACCAAGUGUUGGAUUGUUCACCCGCCAAUAGGGAACGUGAGCUGGGUUAGACCAUCGUGAGAUAGGUUAGUUUUACCCUACUGAUGAACCGCAUCGAAAUAGUAAUUCAACUUAGUACGAGAGGAACCAUUGAUUCACACAAUUGGUCAUCGUGCUUGGUUGAAAAUCCAGUGGCACAAAUCUACUAUGUAUCGGAUUAUCACUGAAUGCCUCUAAGUUAGAAUCCACACUAGAAGCGGUGCAUGUCACUCUUCGACUGUAUCUCGACCCACAAUAGGGGCGACGUUUUGUUGCUCCAAGGGGCCCGUGUCAUUUGCAAACCACGACCGUGAAGCAUCUCGAUCAGGGCAACUUUGAAGUUCAAUUC